Molecule: ribosomal RNA, 445 nt
Filed under: uncultured bacterium
Lineage: Bacteria
Description: partial 16S ribosomal RNA
Rfam family: Bacterial small subunit ribosomal RNA
Source: RNAcentral
AUCCAGACUCCUACGGGAGGCAGCAGCGGGGAAUAUUGCACAAUGGGGGGAACCCUGAUGCAGCGACGCCGCGUGAGUGAAGAAGUAUUUCGGUAUGUAAAGCUCUAUCAGCAGGGACGAAGAUGACGGUACCUGCAGAAGAAGCCCCGGCUAACUACGUGCCAGCAGCCGCGGUAAUACGUAGGGGGCAAGCGUUAUCCGGAUUUACUGGGUGUAAAGGGAGCGUAGGCGGGACUGCAAGUUGGGUGUCAAAUCUACCGGCUCAACCGGUAGCCGCACUCAAAACUGCAGUUCUUGAGUGAAGUAGAGGCAGGCGGAAUUCCUAGUGUAGCGGUGAAAUGCGUAGAUAUUAGGAGGAACACCAGUGGCGAAGGCGGCCUGCUGGGCUUUUACUGACGCUGAGGCUCGAAAGUGUGGGGAGCAAACAGGAUUAGAUACCCCAGUA